This 253-nucleotide ribosomal RNA is filed under the name uncultured bacterium. RNAcentral describes it as "partial 16S ribosomal RNA". It matches the Rfam family "Bacterial small subunit ribosomal RNA", at positions 524 to 776 of the family's 1533-position model. The record is from RNAcentral.
GACAGAGGGGGCAAGCGUUGUUCGGAAUUACUGGGCGUAAAGGGCUCGUCGGCGGCCAACUAAGUCAGACGUGAAAUCCCCAGGCUCAACCUGGGAACUGCGUCUGAUACUGGAUGGCUUGAAUCCGGGAGAGGGAUGCAGAAUUCCAGGUGUAGCGGUGAAAUGCGUAGAUAUCUGGAGGAAUACCGGUGGCGAAGGCGGCAUCCUGGACCGGCAUUGACGCUGAGGAGCGAAAGCCAGGGGAGCAAACGGG